GAUGAAGAACGUAGCGAAAUGCGAUAAGUAGUGUGAAUUGCAGAAUUCAGUGAAUCAUCGAAUCUUUGAACGCAUAUUGCGCCCCUUGGUAUUCCGAGGGGCAUGCCUGUCCGAGCGUCAUUGCAACCCUUCAAGCACGGCUUGUGUGUUGGACGGCCGCCCCAGUGUGGGCGGGUCCCAAAUGCAGUGGCGGCGCCGCGAUCCGGGUGCUCGAGUGCAUGGAAACCACGCGCUCGUUAGGCCCCGUCGGGCGCCGGCCGACCUAAUUAUCUUCGUUCUGGUUGACCUCGGAUCAGGUAGGAAUACCCGCUGAACUUAAGCAUAUCAAUAAGCGGAGGA
RNAcentral lists this unclassified non-coding RNA (339 nucleotides) under soil metagenome. RNAcentral's name for it is "partial contains 5.8S ribosomal RNA, internal transcribed spacer 2, and large subunit ribosomal RNA". The stretch from base 1 to 120 matches the Rfam family "5.8S ribosomal RNA", at positions 35 to 154 of the family's 154-position model. The record is from RNAcentral.